CAGUCGCCACGGGAAAACGGAGGGUGCGAGCGUUAAUCGGAAUAACUGGGCGUAAAGGGCACGCAGGCGGUGACUUAAGUGAGGUGUGAAAGCCCCGGGCUUAACUUGGGAAUUGCAUUUCAUACUGGGUCGCUAGAGUACUUUAGGGGGGGGUAGAAUUCCACGUGUAGCGGUGAAAUGCGUAGAGAUGUGGAGGAAUACCGAAGGCGAAGGCAGCCCCUUGGGUAUGUACUGACGCUCAUGUGCGAAAGCGUGGGGAGCAAACAGGAUUAGAUACCCGUGUAGUCCCUGUCUCUUAUAC
Molecule: ribosomal RNA, 301 nt
Filed under: uncultured bacterium
Lineage: Bacteria
Description: partial 16S ribosomal RNA
Rfam family: Bacterial small subunit ribosomal RNA
Source: RNAcentral